This is a non-coding RNA of Pelobates cultripes (western spadefoot toad), 928 nucleotides long. NCBI's taxonomy places the organism in Eukaryota, Metazoa, Chordata, Amphibia, Anura, Pelobatidae. The record is from the annotation of a GenBank genome assembly.
GUAAUUUUAUUGAUUGCAAUUUGAGGGACCUGUCUGACAACCCAGGCGAAGGUCCAGAGAAUUUAAAUUUGCUGGCUCUGUAUUUAACCCUGUAACCUUCCAUGACACCCUAAAACCUGUACAUGGCAGGUACUGUUUUACUCUGGAGACUUCGCUGAACACAAAUAUUAGUGUUUCAAAACAGUAAAACAUAUCACAGCGAUGAUAUUGUCAGUGAAAGAAACGUUUUUUUUGCAUUUUUCACAUACAAACGGCACUUUCACUGAUGGAGUAGCUACUACAUCUUUUACAAGUGCCCUCUAGUGGUUGACAUUUGUAAUGAUGUGCUAAUAUUGCACACAAUAGUGAUCCUGUGUAGCAAUGAAAACAAAUACCUCUUGUUUUCUGCAAUGGAGAAAGUAAGCAACGUAUUAAUGUAACAUUACAGUAUUGGCAGAAAGUAGGCACUAUUUAAAUAACUAUUGCUAUUUUGCAUAGAUUUUACAUACUUUACUUGUAUAUUGUGUUUGCCAGCUAUUUAGAACAUAAUGAUGUAAUAUGUUGCUGCAUAAUACAUAUAACAAAUAAUUAUAGAUAAAAAGUCUGAUUAAAGCAACAGCUUAUUGCACUUUAAUGGUGUUUGUUGACCACACAGAUCCAAAUUAUGUAGAUUUAAAGGGUAAACUCCAAUAACAGGUCAGUUGACACCAUAUGUGUCAAUCAAUAUAAUGGGAAUAUAAUUAAAGGGACACAAACAAAGUGAUUCAAUUCGUAGAUUGCAGAGAAUGGAGAGACUGCAGAGGCAUAAUCUAUAUAACAAAACUGAUUAACCCCUUAAGGACCGGACUGUUUUGACCAUGUUGUACGUUAAGGACCAGGGCUGUUUUAACACUUUUGUGGUGUUUGUGUUUAGCUGUAAUUUUCCUCUCUCUCAUUUACUGUUCCCAUA